GUCUACAGCCAUACCACCCUGAACAUGCCUGAUCUCAUCUGAUCUCAGAAGCUAACAGAGCUGGCCAGUUAGUACUUAGAAGGGAGAAUUAUAUCUGUUGGCA
RNAcentral lists this ribosomal RNA (103 nucleotides) under Microcebus murinus (gray mouse lemur). The record is from RNAcentral. Lineage: Eukaryota; Metazoa; Chordata; Mammalia; Primates; Cheirogaleidae.